AUCUACAGCCAUACUACACUGAAUGUACCUCAUCUCAUCUCGUAUCAGAAGCUAAGUAUGGCUGGGCCUCGUUUGUUCUUGGAUGGGAGACCACCUUGGAAUAUGAGACAUUGUAAGCU
Molecule: ribosomal RNA, 119 nt
Filed under: Phascolarctos cinereus (koala)
Lineage: Eukaryota; Metazoa; Chordata; Mammalia; Diprotodontia; Phascolarctidae
Source: RNAcentral